This 134-nucleotide small nuclear RNA is filed under the name Nelumbo nucifera (sacred lotus). Its description in RNAcentral is "U4 spliceosomal RNA". It matches the Rfam family "U4 spliceosomal RNA". Rfam says of the family: U4 small nuclear RNA (U4 snRNA) is a component of the major U2-dependent spliceosome. The structure of U4 snRNA from yeast and human has been reported. U4 snRNA presents a k-turn RNA motif in the 5p-SL related to recognition of Snu13 protein. Lineage: Eukaryota; Viridiplantae; Streptophyta; Magnoliopsida; Proteales; Nelumbonaceae. The record is from Rfam by way of RNAcentral.
GCCUUUGCGCUUGGAGCAAUGAUGUAGCUAGUUAGGUAUUAACUGAGGUGUGUCAAUUGCUGGUUGAAAACCAUUCCCAAGGCUUUACCAACAUGCGAGAUAUAACAUUUUUAAGCCCUAAAAUUUACUCAAGG